This 460-nucleotide ribosomal RNA is filed under the name uncultured bacterium. RNAcentral describes it as "partial 16S ribosomal RNA". It matches the Rfam family "Bacterial small subunit ribosomal RNA", at positions 338 to 795 of the family's 1533-position model. The record is from RNAcentral.
CCUACGGGUGGCAGCAGUGAGGAAUAUUGGUCAAUGGGCGUAAGCCUGAACCAGCCAAGUCGCGUGAGGGAUGAAGGUUCUAUGGAUCGUAAACCUCUUUUAUAAGGGAAUAAAGUGCGGGACGUGUCCCGUUUUGUAUGUACCUUAUGAAUAAGGAUCGGCUAACUCCGUGCCAGCAGCCGCGGUAAUACGGAGGAUCCGAGCGUUAUCCGGAUUUAUUGGGUUUAAAGGGUGCGUAGGCGGCCUUUUAAGUCAGCGGUGAAAGUCUGUGGCUCAACCAGAGAAUUGCCGUUGAAACUGGCUGUCUUGAGAUGUCGAGAGGUAUGCGGAAUGCGCAGUGUAGCGGUGAAAUGCUUAGAUAUUGCGCAGAACUCCGAUUGCGAAGGCAGCAUACCGGCGGCGAUCUGACGCUGAGGCACGAAAGCGUGGGUAUCGAACAGGAUUAGAUACCCCUGUAGUC